GAGGGCUUGGCCGGGUGGUCGGGCAGGGGCUUCCAAGCCUAUAACGCGGGUUCGAUUCCCGCAGCCCGCUCCA
RNAcentral lists this transfer RNA (73 nucleotides) under Achromobacter arsenitoxydans SY8. RNAcentral describes it as "tRNA-OTHER". It matches the Rfam family "tRNA". From Rfam's summary of the family: Transfer RNA (tRNA) molecules are approximately 80 nucleotides in length. Their secondary structure includes four short double-helical elements and three loops (D, anti-codon, and T loops). The record is from RNAcentral. Lineage: Bacteria; Pseudomonadati; Pseudomonadota; Betaproteobacteria; Burkholderiales; Alcaligenaceae.